RNAcentral lists this ribosomal RNA (492 nucleotides) under uncultured bacterium. RNAcentral's name for it is "partial 16S ribosomal RNA". It matches the Rfam family "Bacterial small subunit ribosomal RNA", at positions 29 to 507 of the family's 1533-position model. The record is from RNAcentral.
AGUGAACGCUGGCGGUAGGCCUAACACAUGCAAGUCGAACGGCAGCACAGUAAGAGCUUGCUCUUACGGGUGGCGAGUGGCGGACGGGUGAGGAAUACAUCGGAAUCUACUUUUUCGUGGGGGAUAACGUAGGGAAACUUACGCUAAUACCGCAUACGACCUACGGGUGAAAGCAGGGGAUCUUCGGACCCUGCGCGAUUGAAUGAGCCGAUGUCGGAUUAGCUAGUUGGCGGGGUAAAGGCCCACCAAGGCGACGAUCCGUAGCUGGUCUGAGAGGAUGAUCAGCCACACUGGAACUGAGACACGGUCCAGACUCCUACGGGAGGCAGCAGUGGGGAAUAUUGGACAAUGGGCGCAAGCCUGAUCCAGCCAUACCGCGUGGGUGAAGAAGGCCUUCGGGUUGUAAAGCCCUUUUGUUGGGAAAGAAAAGCAGCAGGUUAAUACCCCGCUGUUCUGACGGUACCCAAAGAAUAAGCACCGGCUAACUCCGUG